CCUACGGGCCGCAGCAGUGGGGAAUAUUGCACAAUGGGCGCAAGCCUGAUGCAGCCAUGCCGCGUGUAUGAAGAAGGCCUUCGGGUUGUAAAGUACUUCCAGCGGGGAGGAAGGUGUUGUGGUUAAUAACCACAGCAAUUGACGUUACCCGCAGAAGAAGCACCGGCUAACUCCGUGCCAGCAGCCGCGGUAAUACGGAGGGUGCAAGCGUUAAUCGGAAUUACUGGGCGUAAAGCGCACGCAGGCGGUCUGUCAAGUCGGAUGUGAAAUCCCCGGGCUCAACCUGGGAAUGGCAUCUAAGACUGGUCAGCUAGAGUCUUGUAGAGGAGGGUAGAAUUCCAUGUGUAGCGGUGAAAUGCGUAGAGAUGUGGAGGAAUACCGGUGGCGAAGGCGGCCCCCUGGACAAAGACUGACGCUCAGGUGCGAAAGCGUGGGGAGCAAACAGGAUUAGAUACCCCAGUAGUCA
Molecule: ribosomal RNA, 466 nt
Filed under: uncultured bacterium
Lineage: Bacteria
Description: bacterial SSU rRNA
Rfam family: Bacterial small subunit ribosomal RNA
Source: RNAcentral